GAACCAGUAUGCCCCCCUUUUACGAUCUAUGACUCACUCACACUAACAUGUCGAACACUUCGAACAUGCAACCCACCUCAGGUGCUAAACACGUCACUGACUCAUGCGAAUGCCCUCGCAGUGUCACGUCGUGUCCUCUCCAGAGGUUU
Pomacea canaliculata is the source of this 149-nucleotide long non-coding RNA. RefSeq lists it as uncharacterized. The transcript has 3 exons. The record is from RefSeq and is a predicted model, not a curated record. Lineage: Eukaryota; Metazoa; Mollusca; Gastropoda; Architaenioglossa; Ampullariidae.